CGCGCAGGCGGUCUUGUCCGUCAGGUGUGAAAGCUCGGGGCUCAACCCCGGAAGUGCACUUGAAACAGCAAGACUUGAACACGGGAGAGGAAAGCGGAAUUCCUGGUGUAGAGGUGAAAUUCGUAGAUAUCAGGAGGAACACCGAUGGCGAAGGCAGCUUUCUGGACCGAUAUUGACGCUGAGGCGCGAAGGCGUGGGUAGCGAACG
Molecule: ribosomal RNA, 207 nt
Filed under: uncultured bacterium
Lineage: Bacteria
Description: partial 16S ribosomal RNA
Rfam family: Bacterial small subunit ribosomal RNA
Source: RNAcentral